AGGCUCAGGAUGAACGCUAGCUACAGGCUUAACACAUGCAAGUCGGAGGGGCAGCAUGGUCUUAGCUUGCUAAGGCCGAUGGCGACCGGCGCACGGGUGAGUAACGCGUAUCCAACCUGCCUUACACUCUUGGACAGCCUUCUGAAAGGGAGAUUAAUACAAGAUGUUAUCAUGAGUAAGCAUUUUCGCAUGAUUAAAGGUUUACCGGUGUAAGAUGGGGAUGCGUUCCAUUAGA
This 235-nucleotide ribosomal RNA is filed under the name uncultured bacterium. RNAcentral's name for it is "partial 16S ribosomal RNA". It matches the Rfam family "Bacterial small subunit ribosomal RNA", at positions 20 to 245 of the family's 1533-position model. The record is from RNAcentral.